RNAcentral lists this ribosomal RNA (2163 nucleotides) under Triticum aestivum (bread wheat). RNAcentral describes it as "partial small subunit ribosomal RNA". Lineage: Eukaryota; Viridiplantae; Streptophyta; Magnoliopsida; Poales; Poaceae. The record is from RNAcentral.
AUGGGCAGCCUUUGCUCCAAGGAGCAGGUUGUCGAGGAGGAACACGUGCCGGUGCCGGUGCCGGACAGGUUGCGGCUGCAGAAAGCGCCCAGCCAAUCCCUGAAGCAGCUCAUCACUCUCACCGCCAAGGAGGAUUCUGCGGUCGUCGCGCCGAUCGUGCACGCCGUCAUCAGCAGGUCCGAGUCCAGCGUCAAGCCCAAGGCGCAGCCUACCACCGCACCCCAGAAGAAGGCUCCGGUGCUCGUCGUCGCCUCUCUCAACAAGUCGUACAGCACAGCCGGGCUCACGCACCACCGGCGGCCCACCGUGGACACCGGCGACCAUGAUGCAGCGGACCCCAUCCCGCAGGGCGUGCCCCAGGGGUUCUCCGGCGAGCACGUGAUCGCCGGCUGGCCGUCCUGGCUAACCUCCGUGGCCGGGGAGGUGGUCCAUGGGUGGCUGCCCCGCCGUGCCGACACCUUCGAGAGGUUGGACAAGAUCGGGCAGGGCACGUACAGCAACGUGUACAUGGCGCGCGACCUGCAGAGCGGCAAGAUCGUGGCGCUGAAGCGGGUGCGCUUCCUCAACAUGGACCCGGAGAGCGUGCGGUUCAUGGCGAGGGAGAUCCACAUCCUGCGCCGGCUUGACCACCCCAACGUGAUCAAGCUGGAGGGCAUCGUCACGUCACGCCUCUCCCACAGCCUCUACCUCGUCUUCGAGUACAUGGAGCACGACCUCGCCGGCCUCGCCGUCACCCCGGGCCUCCGCUUCACCGAGCCGCAGGUCAAGUGCUUCAUGAGGCAGAUCCUGGCGGGGCUCCACCAUUGCCACGGCCGUGGGGUGCUCCACAGGGACAUCAAAGGGUCCAACCUGCUCAUCGACGACAACGGCGUGCUCAAAAUCGCCGACUUCGGGCUGGCCACCUUCUUCGACCCGGCCAAGACACAGCACCUCACGAGCAGGGUCGUCACGCUGUGGUACCGCCCGCCGGAGCUCCUGCUCGGAGCCACCGAGUACGGGGUCGCGGUCGACCUGUGGAGCACCGGCUGCAUCCUCGCCGAGCUGCUCGCCGGAAAGCCCAUCAUGCCCGGACAGACCGAGAUUGAGCAGCUGCACAAGAUCUUCAAACUCUGCGGUUCGCCGUCUGAGGAGUACUGGGCCAAGGCGAAGCUGCCGGACGUGACCCUCUUUAAGCCGCAGCGACCCUACAGGCGCCGGACGGCCGAGACCUUCCGGGACUUCCCUCCCACGGCGCUGGACCUCGUGGACACGCUGCUGGCCAUCGAACCCUCCCACCGGGGCACCGCAGCUUCGGCACUCGACAGCCAAUUCUUCAGAACCAAGCCGUUGGCGUGUGACCCGUCGAGCUUUCCCAAGUACCCGCCAAGCAAAGAGUACGACGCCAAGCUCCGCGGCAAGGAGGCCAUGAGGCAAAACGCGGCGGCAACCAUAGCAGGCAACGGCUCCCUGUCCGUGAAGCCGGGAAGAAACGACGAACCCAAGCCAGUAGACGCCGCUGGAGCAGACCGCCAGAGGAGGCAGGUGCGUAACAACCCGAAGAGCAGCAGCCACCACUGCAGCACGCUGGAGGACAGCAUGUCGGGAUUCCGCAUGGAGCCGCGGGCAGCCGCCGGGCAGCUGUCGACGAUGCAGAACGCCGGGCAGUUCGGGUCGACGUGGUACAGGAAAGACUACCAGCGCGGCCGCGGGUUCCAGCGAACGACCAGCUCCGUCAGGGUGUUGAACCACGCCGCGCACCUGACGUCGCAGAGGUCCUACGCCACGUCCCGGGGCACCGACCUGCACCCGAGCUCGUCGGCGGCCAGGAAUAGCAACUCCAAGUACAACCGCCUCGACGUCGCCGAGCCCGCCAAUGCGCUUGACAGGCCCGUCCCUGCCAACAAAGACACCGCCAUGCCCACGAGGGACGCCCCUUCAGCUGUGCCUGGUUACAGAGGGCGGAACCGGAGGAUGAACUACUCCGGCCCGCUGGUGCCGCCGGGAGGGAACAUGGACGAGAUGCUCAAGGAGCACGAGCGGCAGAUCCAGGUGGCGGUGCGCAAAGCGCGCGUCGACAAGGAGAGGAUCAACCGCAACCAUUACUCACCAGCGGUAGAAAAUGACAUGCCAUCCUCACCGCCAGAUCGAGCCUGUCGUGCGUGCACAGAAACACCUCCACCAUAG